UGAAAUUACGAAAAAAAAGUUACAUUAAUGUAAAAUACUGGAGUAAUGAUCUCUGACUUACUCCGAAAAGACUUUUAUGUGUG
This is a long non-coding RNA of Bradysia coprophila, 83 nucleotides long. The record is from RefSeq and is a predicted model, not a curated record. Lineage: Eukaryota; Metazoa; Arthropoda; Insecta; Diptera; Sciaridae.